Molecule: ribosomal RNA, 460 nt
Filed under: uncultured bacterium
Lineage: Bacteria
Description: partial 16S ribosomal RNA
Rfam family: Bacterial small subunit ribosomal RNA
Source: RNAcentral
CCUACGGGUGGCAGCAGUGAGGAAUAUUGGUCAAUGGACGAGAGUCUGAACCAGCCAAGUAGCGUGAAGGAUGACUGCCCUAUGGGUUGUAAACUUCUUUUAUAUGGGAAUAAAAUGUUCCACGUGUGGGAUUUUGUAUGUACCAUACGAAUAAGGAUCGGCUAACUCCGUGCCAGCAGCCGCGGUAAUACGGAGGAUCCGAGCGUUAUCCGGAUUUAUUGGGUUUAAAGGGAGCGUAGGUGGAUUGUUAAGUCAGUUGUGAAAGUUUGCGGCUCAACCGUAAAAUUGCAGUUGAAACUGGCAGUCUUGAGUACAGUAGAGGUGGGCGGAAUUCGUGGUGUAGCGGUGAAAUGCUUAGAUAUCACGAAGAACUCCGAUUGCGAAGGCAGUUCACUGGACUGCAACUGACACUGAGGCUCGAAAGUGUGGGUAUCAAACAGGAUUAGAUACCCGUGUAGUC